AAGAAUGAAAAUAAGAUGCAUUGGCUACGAUGGGAUGUGAUGACAUCGCCAAAAGGAGAGGGUGGCAUUGGGUAUAAGGGCCUACAUACUUUCAAUCUUGCGAUGCUCGCAAAGCAAGCAUGGAGGAUCCUCUCCAACCCAGUGUCGCCGUGCGCACAAGUCUUGAAGGCGAAGUACUACCCAAAUACUGAAGUUCUUAAGGCUGAAAUCAAGUCAGGAGCAUCUUACGCUUGGCGGAGUAUUAUGUAGGGUGUUGAGGUCCUUAAGGAGGGGGUCAUAAGAAGGAUUGGCAAUGGUAUGGAUACUAAUAUUUGGUCUGAUCCUUGGUUCCCUAGAGAUGGGUGUCGCCGUCCAAUCACACCGAGAGGGAACACUGUCAUACGAAACGUAUCUGACCUGAUUGAUCCAGUGACUGGACAGUGUGAUGUUGCAUUGGUCGAAGAGGUGCUCUGGAGAAUUGAUGCUCAGUGUGUUCUGGCCCUUCCACUGCAUGAUGAUUUUGAGGAUGAUUGGGCGUGGCACUAUGAUGAUAUGGGUGUGUUCAGUGUCAAGACUGGUUACAAAUUUCUACGGCAAAUGCAACUGAUGGCGAGUGAACGGCAAAUCGGUGAACCAAUCUCCAGAGAUCAAAGCAUUAACUGGAAGAGUAUAUGGAAGCUUAAAUGCCUUCCCAAAAUGCAACAUUUUCUAUGGAGGCUUGCAUAUAACAUCCUACCUCACCGGUGGAGCAUCCAGCAGCGUGGGGUUGAUUUGGAACCUGUCUGCCCAGUUUGUCAAAGGCUGAAUGAGGAUGGGGCUCAUACCUUCCUCCAGUGCAAAAAAUGCUAG
This 828-nucleotide ribosomal RNA is filed under the name Triticum aestivum (bread wheat). RNAcentral's name for it is "partial small subunit ribosomal RNA". The record is from RNAcentral. Lineage: Eukaryota; Viridiplantae; Streptophyta; Magnoliopsida; Poales; Poaceae.